Mustela lutreola (European mink) is the source of this 684-nucleotide long non-coding RNA. RefSeq lists it as uncharacterized. Lineage: Eukaryota; Metazoa; Chordata; Mammalia; Carnivora; Mustelidae. The record is from RefSeq and is a predicted model, not a curated record. The transcript is spliced from 3 exons.
CGGCCUCUCCCGCGGCGCGGCACGCGGGGAGGAGGCUGGCGCCGUGAACCUGGGCACCGUCUGUCGGUGGGACGGGAGGAACGAAUGCCACAGACGUUCUAGGAGGCCUGUGGGCUGCUGCUGUGGACGGAACACUUGCACGAACUGGACCAUCACCGGGGGCUGCGUCUGCCCGGGGCCUUGAUCCCGCCCUUGAUCCCUGCCCGGGGCCUUGAUCCAGGCCUCCCCACCUCUGCAAGCAACUGUGCCCGGGCCUGCCUGGUUUGUGGCCUUCCGUCACAUCAGCCUGAGUGGUGAAGGGGCCGAAAGAAAAUGCCCUGAUGUCCGCCGAUGGGCAGCAAAGGGACUAGUCCGCGGCUGUGCACCCACACCACAGGCCACCACAGACCACCCCUCAGCCCGCGGGACACUCCCAGCAGCUGGGGGUGUGUGUGUGUGGCAGUCUCAGCAACAAGGGAAGCAGCUGCGGAAGUCCUUCUACCCGGUGCUUCUGACUACAUGACAUACUCCAUGACAUACUGGCCCUUCUAGGCCCAGCAGCAUCCAGAAACGUCGGUUACGGUUACGCCACAACAGCUGCCUGGCGCCCCCUGAAUGCCUCAGAUGUGGUCCGUGGCGGGAGCCCCGAGCCAACAUGCUGCCACUAGGUGAAUCGGGCCUGCCAUUAGAGUCACAAAGACCAAU